This 21-nucleotide microRNA is filed under the name Caenorhabditis briggsae. RNAcentral's name for it is "cbr-miR-35e". Its record names the gene cbr-miR-35e. The record is from miRBase by way of RNAcentral. Lineage: Eukaryota; Metazoa; Nematoda; Chromadorea; Rhabditida; Rhabditidae.
UCACCGGGUGACAAUUAGGAC